GACGAACGCUGGCGGCGUGCUUAACACAUGCAAGUCGAACGGAAAGGCCCUGCUUUUGUGGGGUGCUCGAGUGGCGAACGGGUGAGUAACACGUGAGUAACCUGCCCUUGACUUCGGGAUAACUUCAGGAAACUGGGGCUAAUACCGGAUAGGAGCUCCUGCUGCAUGGUGGGGGUUGGAAAGUUUCGGCGGUUGGGGAUGGUCUCGCGGCUUAUCAGCUUGUUGGUGGGGUAGUGGCUUACCAAGGCUUUGACGGGUAGCCGGCCUGAGAGGGUGACCGGCCACAUUGGGACUGAGAUACGGCCCAGACUCCUACGGGAGGCAGCAGUGGGGAAUAUUGCACAAGGGGCGGAAGCCUGAUGCAGCAACGCCGCGUGCGGGAUGACGGCCUUCGGGUUGUAAACCGCUUUCGCCUGUGACGAAGCGUGAGUGACGGUAAUGGGUAAAGAAGCACCGGCUAACUACGU
RNAcentral lists this ribosomal RNA (467 nucleotides) under uncultured bacterium. RNAcentral describes it as "partial 16S ribosomal RNA". It matches the Rfam family "Bacterial small subunit ribosomal RNA", at positions 28 to 506 of the family's 1533-position model. The record is from RNAcentral.